RNAcentral lists this ribosomal RNA (381 nucleotides) under uncultured eukaryote. RNAcentral describes it as "partial 18S ribosomal RNA". It matches the Rfam family "Eukaryotic small subunit ribosomal RNA", at positions 592 to 976 of the family's 1831-position model. The record is from RNAcentral.
CAAUAGCGUAUAUUAAAGUUGUUGCGGUAAAAAAGCUCGUAGUUGGAUUUCUACCGAAGAUAGCCGGUCGGGUCUUCGACCUUGUAUCUGGUUUUGUCUUUGGUAUCCUCAUAGGGAACGUUUCUGCGCUUUAUUGCGUGGUGCGGUAUCUAUGACUUUUACUUUGAGGAAAUUAGAGUGUUCACGGCAGGCAAACGCCUUGAAUAUAUUAGCAUGGAAUAAUAACAUAGGAUCUUCGUCCUAUUUUGUUGGUUUCUAGGGCUAAGAUAAUGAUUAAUAGGGAUAAUUGGGGGCAUCUGUAUCAACGCGUCAGAGGUGGAAUUCCUGGAUUGCGUUGCGACAAACUACUGCGAAAGCAUUUGCCAAGGAUGUUUUCAUUGA